This 504-nucleotide ribosomal RNA is filed under the name uncultured bacterium. RNAcentral describes it as "partial 16S ribosomal RNA". It matches the Rfam family "Bacterial small subunit ribosomal RNA", at positions 28 to 523 of the family's 1533-position model. The record is from RNAcentral.
GAUGAACGCUAGCGGCAGGCCUAAUACAUGCAAGUCGAACGGGAUCUGAGGGUAGCUUGCUACCCGAUUUGAGAGUGGCGCACGGGUGCGUAACGCGUGAGCAACCUGCCCAUAUCAGGGGGAUAGCCCGAAGAAAUUCGGAUUAACACCGCAUAAUAAUACGCUAACACAUGUUGAUGUAUUUAAAUAUUUAUAGGAUAUGGAUGGGCUCGCGUGACAUUAGCUAGUUGGUAAGGUAACGGCUUACCAAGGCGACGAUGUCUAGGGGCUCUGAGAGGAGAAUCACCAACACUGGUACUGAGACACGGACCAGACUCCUACGGGAGGCAGCAGUAAGGAAUAUUGGUCAAUGGGCGCAAGCCUGAACCAGCCAUGCCGCGUGCAGGAUGACUGCCCUAUGGGUUGUAAACUGCUUUUGUUAGGGAAUAAACCUUCUUACGUGUAAGGAGCUGAAUGUACCUAAAGAAUAAGGACCGGCUAACUCCGUGCCAGCAGCCGCCGUAA